This 496-nucleotide unclassified non-coding RNA is filed under the name Hevea brasiliensis (rubber tree). The record is from RNAcentral. Lineage: Eukaryota; Viridiplantae; Streptophyta; Magnoliopsida; Malpighiales; Euphorbiaceae.
CUUGAAAACCAUUUGCCAUGUCCAGUCAGUCACAUGAAUGUCUAGUGGAUAUUGUCAUUUUGUAGGAAGAUAAAAAAAAUGAGUCUGCUGAAGCAAUAUCUCAAUCCAGCCCCUAAAACUGAUAAAGAAAUAGAGGACUAUCCAGCCCCUCUUGCUGUUGUGGGUGUUAGUGUUCUGAAAGGCAUCAGGUUGAAUGAGAUGUUGAAGGAAAUAAGGGCUGCCUUAAAAAAGUGCGGAGAUUCUAACGAGGCAUUGGAACCAAGUGAGAGACGGUGAGAGCAUACAAGUUGUAAAAGUCUUCAUAACACCUUAGGGCCUCUCACCGUCUCUCACUUGGUUCCAAUGCCAAUUUGGAUCAGCGGAUGAAAGCUCAAUUGUUGGUCUACAGCUACCAAAAACCUAACCCUGCUGGAGACUUGUUUGUACAGUGAGGCGCGUAGUGUAAUCCUUUUUUCAAUCUUUGUAAUUGUCAUAUAGAUUGGAUCCAUAGGAUUUG